This 72-nucleotide transfer RNA is filed under the name Cavia porcellus (domestic guinea pig). It matches the Rfam family "tRNA". Rfam says of the family: Transfer RNA (tRNA) molecules are approximately 80 nucleotides in length. Lineage: Eukaryota; Metazoa; Chordata; Mammalia; Rodentia; Caviidae. The record is from Rfam by way of RNAcentral.
AAGGGUGUAGCUCAGUGGUAGAGCGUAUGCUCGACAUGCACAAGGCCCGGAGUUCAAUCCCCAGCAUCUCUA